RNAcentral lists this ribosomal RNA (808 nucleotides) under uncultured bacterium. RNAcentral describes it as "bacterial SSU rRNA". It matches the Rfam family "Bacterial small subunit ribosomal RNA", at positions 8 to 796 of the family's 1533-position model. The record is from RNAcentral.
AGAGUUUGAUCAUGGCUCAGAACGAACGCUGGCGGCGUGGAUAAGACAUGCAAGUCGAACGGGAUAUUCUUGGUAGCAAUAUUAAGGAUGUCUAGUGGCGUAAGGGUGCGUAACACGUGGGGAAUCUGCCGAGAAGUGGGGGAUAGCUCGUCGAAAGGCGAAUUAAUACCGCAUGUGGUUAGUGCUGGAUUCAGCGCGAUACCAAAGCCGGGGCAACCUGGCGCUUCUUGAUGACCCCGCGGCCUAUCAGCUAGUUGGUGAGGUAACGGCUCACCAAGGCUAUGACGGGUAGCUGGUCUGAGAGGACGACCAGCCACACUGGAACUGAGACACGGUCCAGACACCUACGGGUGGCAGCAGUCGAGAAUUUUUCUCAAUGGGGGAAACCCUGAAGGAGCGACGCCGCGUGGAGGAUGAAGGUCUUCGGAUUGUAAACUCCUGUCAUUUGGGAACAAUUGCCACCGGUUAACUGCCGGGGGUUUGAUAGUACCAGAAGAGGAAGAGACGGCUAACUCUGUGCCAGCAGCCGCGGUAAUACAGAGGUCUCAAGCGUUGUUCGGAUUCAUUGGGCGUAAAGGGUGCGUAGGUGGCGGGGUAAGUCAGGUGUGAAAUCUCGGAGCUCAACUCCGAAACUGCACUUGAUACUGCCUUGCUCGAGUACUGGAGAGGAGAUUGGAAUUUACGGUGUAGCAGUGAAAUGCGUAGAUAUCGUAAGGAAGACCAGUGGCGAAGGCGAAUCUCUGGACAGUUACUGACACUGAGGCACGAAGGCCAGGGGAGCAAACAGGAUUAGAUACCCUAGUAGUCC